CAGGACUGCAGUUCCUAACCAGACAGAAGGGACCUCUGGAAGAGGCCCGUGGUGAAGGCCCUACAGACUCUUAAUCCCUCCAAGGGCACAAAUAACCGUACUGCUGCAAUCAGGAUAAGCAGGUGACGCGGGGCUGAUGCAGGACUGUUCGGGCUGGGGCCAGGUCCAGCCUGGAGUGCUGUCUUCGCUGACUCCCCAUCUCAGAGCAUGUUUGAUGUCUUCAGUGGUGACAGCAGGACCA
RNAcentral lists this long non-coding RNA (241 nucleotides) under Homo sapiens (human). RNAcentral describes it as "HSALNT0184339". Lineage: Eukaryota; Metazoa; Chordata; Mammalia; Primates; Hominidae. The record is from RNAcentral.